Molecule: ribosomal RNA, 496 nt
Filed under: uncultured bacterium
Lineage: Bacteria
Description: partial 16S ribosomal RNA
Rfam family: Bacterial small subunit ribosomal RNA
Source: RNAcentral
AUGCACGCUGGCGGCGUGCCUAAUACCUGCAAGUCGAGCGAACAGACGAGGAGCUUGCUCCUCUGACGUUGGCGGCGGACGGGUGAGUAACACGUGGAUAACCUACCUAUAAGACUGGGAUAACUUCGGGAAACCGGAGCUAAUACCGGAUAAUAUAUUUAACCGCAUGGUUCCAUAGUUAAAUACGGUUUUGCUGUCACUUAUAGAUUGAUCCGCGCCGCAUUAGCUAGUUGGUAAGGUAACGGCUUACCAAGGCAACGAUGCGUAGCCGACCUGAGAGGGUGAUCGGACACACUGGAACUGAGACACGGUACAGACGCCUACGGGAGGCAGCAGUAGGGAAUCUUCCGCAAUGGGCGAAAGCAUGACGGAGCAACGCCGCGUGAGUGAUGAAGGUCUUCGGAUCGUAAAACUCUGUUAUUAGGGAAGAACAAAUGUGUAAGUAACUAUGCACGUCUUGACGGUACCUAAUCAGAAAGCCACGGCUAACUACGUG